UACGUAGGGUGCAAGCGUUGCUCGGAAUCAUUGGGCGUAAAGGGUGCGUAGGCGGCGGGGUAAGUCAGGUGUGAAAUCUCGGGGCUCAACCCCGAAACUGCGCUUGAUACUGCCUCGCUUGAGUACUGGAGAGGAGACUGGAAUUUACGGUGUAGCAGUGAAAUGCGUAGAUAUCGUAAGGAAGACCAGUGGCGAAGGCGAGUCUCUGGACAGUUACUGACGCUGAGGCACGAAGGCCAGGGGAGCAAACGGG
This 253-nucleotide ribosomal RNA is filed under the name uncultured bacterium. Its description in RNAcentral is "partial 16S ribosomal RNA". It matches the Rfam family "Bacterial small subunit ribosomal RNA", at positions 524 to 776 of the family's 1533-position model. The record is from RNAcentral.